CAGUGACACCUGUAGUAUAUAGUGGUAAUCCAGUAGAAUCAAAAAUGAACCUCAAGGUAUAGUUAAUGUGUGAUUCAAUCCCUCUAUUGUUAGUCCCAACUAGAUGGCAGAUCAUAGAUAAAUCAUCAAACCUCAACAUCAAUCAUAUGAUAGAUUCGAUCAGCUCAAGUCUAUUUGUGAUUCUUAUAAUUUUUUUUUUAACAAUCACACUACUGUGGCCA
Molecule: long non-coding RNA, 221 nt
Filed under: Elaeis guineensis (African oil palm)
Lineage: Eukaryota; Viridiplantae; Streptophyta; Magnoliopsida; Arecales; Arecaceae
Description: long non-coding RNA (EGUI_LNC042183)
Source: RNAcentral